UACGUAGGGUGCGAGCGUUAAUCGGAAUUACUGGGCGUAAAGCGUGCGCAGGCGGUUCGUUAAGUUCGUUGUGAAAGCCCCGGGCUCAACCUGGGAACUGCAAUGGAAACUGGCGGGCUUGAAUGCGGCGGAGGGGGGUGGAAUUCCGCGUGUAGCAGUGAAAUGCGUAGAGAUGCGGAGGAACACCGAUGGCGAAGGCAGCCCCCUGGGCCGACAUUGACGCUCAGGCACGAAAGCGUGGGGAGCGAACAGG
RNAcentral lists this ribosomal RNA (253 nucleotides) under uncultured bacterium. Its description in RNAcentral is "partial 16S ribosomal RNA". It matches the Rfam family "Bacterial small subunit ribosomal RNA", at positions 524 to 776 of the family's 1533-position model. The record is from RNAcentral.